GACGUAGGGCGCGAGCGUUGUCCGGAAUUAUUGGGCGUAAAGAGCUCGUAGGCGGUUUGUCGCGUCUGCCGUGAAAGUCCGGGGCUCAACUCCGGAUCUGCGGUGGGUACGGGCAGACUAGAGUGAUGUAGGGGAGACUGGAAUUCCUGGUGUAGCGGUGAAAUGCGCAGAUAUCAGGAGGAACACCGGUGGCGAAGGCGGUUCUCUGGGCCUUACCUGACGCUGAGGAGCGAAAGCGUGGGGAGCAAACAGG
This 253-nucleotide ribosomal RNA is filed under the name uncultured bacterium. RNAcentral describes it as "partial 16S ribosomal RNA". It matches the Rfam family "Bacterial small subunit ribosomal RNA", at positions 524 to 776 of the family's 1533-position model. The record is from RNAcentral.